Non-coding RNA from Anas platyrhynchos (mallard), 2936 nucleotides. The record is from RefSeq and is a predicted model, not a curated record. Lineage: Eukaryota; Metazoa; Chordata; Aves; Anseriformes; Anatidae.
UUUUCUCUUCAGGCUUACCACCUACAUGUGACCUUUCAUUUCUGUCAUUCCUUUUCCCACCCUAAUGUGCUGCUGCUUCUUUCUCUACAAUACUUAGAAAAUUAAUCUCUCUCACCACUCCUGAUACCUGGAAAUAUUAUAUAUUGGGCAUAAUUUCUUUUCUAGACUACCACAAUCUCCCUUCCACAUAAUUUGAUACAGCUGCAGGCAUUUUCUGCCACUGCCUCCCACUGCCUCAGUGUCAUUCUUGUUUCUUGUUCAUUGCUCUGUUCCUUAGUGCCAGAAUGUCUCAUAGGGGUAAUCAGAUAUAUCCUUCUCUGUUUUGAUGUCCAUGGUCUGCUCAAGGAUUUUGUGUCCUUCCUCAAUUCAGUUCCGUAAAGAACUUUCUACUGUGCUGUGUUGGCCUUCCUGGCUAGCAAAACAAAUAAGCAAUUAAGAUUGUUUCAGUUUGGAGGAGAUAUGAGUGCUAAAAUCAGGUGAAAAGACUUACAACAGAGACAGUGCAGAAGACCUUCUGGACCUCAGGUCUGAUACCAUCUUGAGAAAGCAACACAGAACUUCACGGAGGUUGUUCAUGAAGACCAAGCUGCUCAGUGAGAUAGACGAAUGGUUUGAUCCAGAGGUUCUGCAGCCCACAAGCCACUUGAAAACAGUGUUUUGUUUGCAUAAAGUCCAAUUCAUUCAUCCACUUUUGGCAGAAUUAAUCACUUAUGUAUAUUGUAGAAGAUACAGAUCUUUUCCAGUUUUACUGGUCCCAGUAUGAAUAACUGGGCACAAAGGGCUGGAUGUUGUCAGCCAAUUAGAAGAUGGAGCAGUCUGUCUUGUCAAGUUUUUACUAAGCUCUUUGGCUUUAGUCCAGAAAAUCUUGCAUACCAGACUUGCAUACCAGACUCACUCCAACAGUAGAUCUGCUCCAAGAGUAUAAUAUCUAGAUCAAGAAUUCUGUGAUUUAUCCAUUAAUUUUUCAGGUCAAGAAAUCCUACCAGUUGAAACUGGACUAUUAGAAGCCUGUUAGUCUGUCCUGGAAGGUAGGAUAUUUCUUUCAGUGGCAACCAUGGAAUAGAAGAGGAUUACCCUUGUGCCAUCCAGAUUUACAUCAAAAGAUAGAUUUGGAGGUCUGAACAUAUAAAAAGAGAUGUUGAUGGGGCAAGCAUUCUGCUACAUCUACAGAGCUAAAAAUCCUGUGACUAAAGUAUUCAGUACAAGAAUGAGAAAAGGAGAGGCAAUGAGAAACACCACAUAGGCUGAAUUGCAACAAGCAGCCAGGUCAGACCAAACUUUGUGAAAUCUGAGGACUGAGUACUGCUCACACAGCCAGGAGGAUGUAAAGAGCAAACCAACAUGAAUGAAACAAGGUUGAUUUAUGCAAAGAUUCACCAUUAUCAGUCUCCUGAAUUGUGAGUGCUGCCAAAAAUUAUCAGUUCUCUUCUGGAGUCCAUACACUUGUGAAGAGAUAUACCCUAUCAUUACUGUGGGUGUGUUCAGGCUGAGAAAACAGCUGAAAAGUGGUGCUUUGAUUCCAUUGUUCAAAAUGAAGCAACUUUGGAAUCAAAACCACCUCAAAAUUUUAACAGUGAAAGUCAGGUGUUCCCUUCCCAUUCAAAUGUGAAUUCAGCAAAAAUGUUGAUCUUUUUCUUAUAUGCAAUUUUGUAUUAUGGCAAGUAUUUCUAGCUAUGUCUGUUGAACAAACAGUGUAGAUUUCAACAUACAAUAUCUACAUUGCCAUAGACACUACUCUUUUUACCCCAACAUCCUACCUACCACUGUUCAAGGAUGAAAGAUUAAGGAUUUAAUUAAAUCAAAAACUUUAAUUGGAAGUAACAUUUAGGAGAAAAGCCCACUCUGAAGUACAUUCACUGUUAAACAGAAAAACAAGAAUAUCUAAAUUAGUGCUUUGACAUCAGCUAACUUUUGCUUAAGCCUAUGAUUUUGGAUAAAUCACGUUAUCAAUAAGAAUCUAUGUUAACUUGUUCUUUGUGAAAGCGAAGAACUGAACUGUGAGGAGGACAUUUAUUUAAGAUCUUUUCUCAUUGAUCAAGGGAACAGUGAAGAUAUUUUUGAUCAUAGUUAUCUAUGUCAUGACCUUUAGCAAGGCAUUUACACUAUCUUCAGGACUUCUAGCUAUUCAUCCUUGAAUAUAUCUCCAGUAGUUCCACAUUAUCAUGCAUGUCACAGUAGCUACAACCUUUGAAAUUAUCAUUUUUGAAAAUGAUAUCAUUUUUGAAAUUAUUAAUUCAAAACAGGAAAAACUUGCAAUUUUGUGUCUUCUUCUGCUGUAACAUUAGAAAGGUGGCAAAUAUUGAGGGGCCUUCCUGUCCCUUUCCCCACACCCUCCCAUUCCCCGUCCCAUACCAUUAUUCUUAUGGAUUCUUUGUGGAUCUAAAGUCCACAAUGUCUUUAAAGUAAAGUUUCCUUUUGACAGACAGAGCAUGUUGCCUGCUGGAAAUUCGCCUUUCUCACGGAGGAAAACUUUCCUCUGCAGGCUGCACAAAUACAAGCUGCUUGUGAAGAGCUAGAGUCCUAUUCUCCAAUGGUGUAAACCCUUUGACUUCAAUGACAGCAAAUAAUUUGACUACAGGAUCAUUUUGUGUACUGUAGCCAUUAAAAUCUCUAUUGUAGUUUUUAUCAUAUAAAGAAAUCUGUUGAAGGCACCUCAGUUAUUUGGCAAAGUGCUGAGCACGCUGGAUCUGAUAUUUCUAGGGCUUAGUAUGUGGGCUGGUUACUAUGCAACUGGAAUUUCUGUUUGUUUUGGAAAUACGAGAUUUCUUUUUUGAGAGCAUAGAUCAGAUGAAAUUGCCAAAUGCAAUACUGAAAAUCUGAGGCAAAAAAUUAUCCCUGCACAUAAUUUCCUUUUAAGUGCUUGAAAUCACUGUUCUCUGUGUCUGUAACUGCUAAAGGAUGUGCAUGUCUUUUAAAAAAAAAAAAAAAAAAAAAAA